UGCCCUGAGAACUCCGUUUUGGAAACAUGGCUUGGACAGUUUGUCAGUUGAGUAAAUGCUGAUUAUGAUCCUGUGUCACUUGGAUCCAAAAGAGUUUUGGGCAGUCACCUGGUUCUACCUGAUCUUGAAAACAUUAUCCAUACAAUGAUGAUGAUUGUAACAACCCCAAGUCUGUACAUCAGAAGAAGAGGACCCGG
This 197-nucleotide long non-coding RNA is filed under the name Fukomys damarensis (Damara mole-rat). Its description in RNAcentral is "lncRNA (ENSFDAG00000026510.1)". Lineage: Eukaryota; Metazoa; Chordata; Mammalia; Rodentia; Bathyergidae. The record is from RNAcentral.